This 110-nucleotide non-coding RNA is filed under the name Gossypium hirsutum (cotton). RNAcentral describes it as "Bacterial large subunit ribosomal RNA". It matches the Rfam family "Bacterial large subunit ribosomal RNA", at positions 2336 to 2452 of the family's 2925-position model. The record is from Rfam by way of RNAcentral. Lineage: Eukaryota; Viridiplantae; Streptophyta; Magnoliopsida; Malvales; Malvaceae.
UGCCGGCCCUCGAGUGCAAAGGUAGAAGGGAGCUUGACUGCAAGACCCAAGCAGGGACGAAAGUCGGCGUUAGUGAUCCGACGGUGCCGAGUAGAAGGGACGUCGCUCAA